Molecule: ribosomal RNA, 251 nt
Filed under: uncultured prokaryote
Description: partial 16S ribosomal RNA
Rfam family: Bacterial small subunit ribosomal RNA
Source: RNAcentral
ACGUAGGGGGCGAGCGUUGUCCGGAUUCAUUGGGCGUAAAGAGCUCGUAGGCGGUUCGAUAAGUCGGCGGUGAAAGUCCGGGACCUAACUCCGGAAGGUCCGUCGAUACUGUCGAACUUGAGUCUGGUAGGGGAGUGCGGAAUUCCUGGUGUAGCGGUGAAAUGCGUAGAGAUCCGGAGGAACACCAGAGGCGAAGGCGACACCCUGGGCCGUACCUGACGCGAAGACGCGACAGCACGGGGAGCGAACGG